This 85-nucleotide ribosomal RNA is filed under the name Paenibacillus amylolyticus. The record is from RNAcentral. Lineage: Bacteria; Bacillati; Bacillota; Bacilli; Caryophanales; Paenibacillaceae.
UUUGGUGGCGAUGGCGGAGGGGUUCCACACGUACCCAUCCCGAACACGACCGUUAAGCCCUCUAGCGCCGAUGGUACUUGGACCG